This 402-nucleotide transfer-messenger RNA is filed under the name Muribaculaceae. RNAcentral describes it as "Sodaliphilus sp017962765 Standard tmRNA". It matches the Rfam family "transfer-messenger RNA". From Rfam's summary of the family: Bacterial tmRNA, also known as 10Sa RNA or SsrA, is named for its dual tRNA and mRNA-like properties. Its role is to liberate the mRNA from a stalled ribosome. Lineage: Bacteria; Pseudomonadati; Bacteroidota; Bacteroidia; Bacteroidales. RNAcentral also lists the same sequence under 1 other name. The record is from RNAcentral.
GGGGCUGACUUGGAUUUGACAGCGUGUAGAGGUGGUGGGCAAGCAUGCAGAGCGAUGAUGGCAAUGCUCUCGAAUCUCAGUCAUCGACUAAAUUUAACUGGCGAAAAUACUUACGCUCUUGCUGCCUGAUCGAAGCACAGUAGAUCAGCUUAAUCGCUGCCCAAGGCGGUAGCGACAAGACAUCACCCGACAGCCCUAUCCGCGAGGCUCGUUGAACCGGUGGUGCUCGCAAAUCGGGGAUAGAUGAAGGCCUGUCUCGAGCCUUAAUCGAAGUUUAGAGGCUAAGCCGUUGGUUGGUAGUCCCGAGCCUGCCCGCGGUCGAAAAACAAGUCAGGACUAAGCAUGUAGAAAACCCAUUAGUUCCGCGUUUGGACGAGGGUUCAAACCCCUCCAGCUCCACAA